UAGGGAAUCUUCGGCAAUGGACGGAAGUCUGACCGAGCAACGCCGCGUGAGUGAAGAAGGUUUUCGGAUCGUAAAGCUCUGUUGUUAGAGAAGAACGUUGGUAGGAGUGGAAAAUCUACCAAGUGACGGUAACUAACCAGAAAGGGACGGCUAACUACGUGCCAGCAGCCGCGGUAAUAAGUAGGUCCCGAGCGUUGUCCGGAUUUAUUUGGCGUAAAGCGAGCGCAGGCGGUUCUUUAAGUCUGAAGUUAAAGGCAGUGGCUUAACCAUUGUACGCUUUGGAAACUGGAGGACUUGAGUGCAGAAGGGGAGAGUGGAAUUCCAUGUGUAGCGGUGAAAUGCGUAGAUAUAUGGAGGAACACCGGUGGCGAAAGCGGCUCUCUGGUCUGUAACUGACGCUGAGGCUCGAAAGCGUGGGGAGCAAACAGG
RNAcentral lists this ribosomal RNA (429 nucleotides) under Bacillota bacterium. RNAcentral's name for it is "Firmicutes bacterium partial 16S ribosomal RNA". It matches the Rfam family "Bacterial small subunit ribosomal RNA", at positions 355 to 776 of the family's 1533-position model. The record is from RNAcentral. Lineage: Bacteria; Bacillati; Bacillota.